CUAAAAAUCGAGAAAUGUGGCUGAAAAUCGAGAAUUUCAGCUGAAAAUCGAGAAAUUUGGCUGAAAA
Non-coding RNA from Caenorhabditis elegans, 67 nucleotides. Lineage: Eukaryota; Metazoa; Nematoda; Chromadorea; Rhabditida; Rhabditidae. The record is from Ensembl.